GCCGAAGUAGCUCAGUGGUAGAGCACUUCCUUGGUAAGGAAGGGGUCAUGAGUUCAACUCUCAUCUUUGGCU
This 72-nucleotide transfer RNA is filed under the name Bacteroidales bacterium. RNAcentral's name for it is "tRNA-Thr". It matches the Rfam family "tRNA". Rfam says of the family: Transfer RNA (tRNA) molecules are approximately 80 nucleotides in length. Their secondary structure includes four short double-helical elements and three loops (D, anti-codon, and T loops). The record is from RNAcentral. RNAcentral also lists the same sequence under 1 other name. Lineage: Bacteria; Pseudomonadati; Bacteroidota; Bacteroidia; Bacteroidales.